GAAGGAACACCAUGUACCUCGAAUCUUCUCAACUCAUGUCCCGACUAUAUGGCUUAGCCGAGGAGCUUUCUAAACUUUUUGCAGUAUAAUUCCAAAUCUGAACCGAAGGAAAAUGCGGGAUCCUGAUCCAUGAUUCAGGGCAAUGGACAGAGAUACAUAUGCGUAAGCUUAUCACAAAUGCAGUCCGAACGUCUUCAGGAAGAACUUAAAUACCUCCGAGACGAUGGAAUUUCAGUUUCAGAUUUUUCGAUCAGGAAUACCAGCUUUUUGGUCUCGUGAUGGUCGGGUACCCGACCGGCGAGGCAACCAAAAGGAUGUGAAGACCGAAAGAAAUGCAGAUCCAAAGAUUUACCCGACGAAUGGCGAGGAGCCGUGGCCCGUGGAUGAGGGGAAGCGAGCGGCGACUGACAAAAGACCCGAUGAACGGGGACCCACGAGAAAUGAAGAUCAAUUUCAGCAAAAUUGGGAGAGAGAAAAAAUCUCAUCAUCUCCUUUAAUAAACUCUAAUCUUAACCCUAAAUCAAAACCCUCGCGAUCACGUGGUAAGGGUUUCAAGAUUCGAUGGAUA
Tarenaya hassleriana is the source of this 568-nucleotide long non-coding RNA. RefSeq lists it as uncharacterized. The record is from RefSeq and is a predicted model, not a curated record. NCBI's taxonomy places the organism in Eukaryota, Viridiplantae, Streptophyta, Magnoliopsida, Brassicales, Cleomaceae. The transcript has 2 exons.